UACGGAGGGUGCGAGCGUUGUCCGGAAUCAUUGGGCGUAAAGGGCGCGUAGGUGGCGGGACAAGCGUGCGGUGAAAGCCUGGGGCUCAACCCCGGGUCGGCCGUGCGAACUGUUUUGCUUGAGCACUGUAGAGGCAGGCGGAAUUCCGGGUGUAGCGGUGGAAUGCGUAGAUAUCUGGAGGAACACCGGUGGCGAAGGCGGCAUCCUGGACCAACACUGACGCUGAGUGAGCGAAAGCCAGGGGAGCAAACGGG
RNAcentral lists this ribosomal RNA (254 nucleotides) under uncultured bacterium. RNAcentral describes it as "partial 16S ribosomal RNA". It matches the Rfam family "Bacterial small subunit ribosomal RNA", at positions 524 to 776 of the family's 1533-position model. The record is from RNAcentral.